Molecule: ribosomal RNA, 468 nt
Filed under: uncultured bacterium
Lineage: Bacteria
Description: partial 16S ribosomal RNA
Rfam family: Bacterial small subunit ribosomal RNA
Source: RNAcentral
GACGAACGCUGGCGGCGGGCUUAACACAUGCAAGUCGAACGGAAAGGCCCUGCUUUUGUGGGGUGCUCGAGUGGCGAACGGGUGAGUAACACGUGAGUAACCUGCCCUUGACUUUGGGAUAACUUCAGGAAACUGGGGCUAAUACCGGAUAGGAGCUCCUGCUGCAUGGUGGGGGUUGGAAAGUUUCGGCGGUUGGGGAUGGACUCGCGGCUUAUCAGCUUGUUGGUGGGGUAGUGGCUUACCAAGGCUUUGACGGGUAGCCGGCCUGAGAGGGUGACCGACCACAUUGGGACUGAGAUACGGCCCAGACUCCUACGGUAGGCAGCAGGGGGGAAUAUUGCACAAUGGGCGGAAGCCUGAUGCAGCAACGCCGCGUGCGGGAUGACGGCCUUCGGGUUGUAAACCGCUUUCGCCUGUGACGAAGCGUGAGUGACGGUAAUGGGUAAAGAAGCACCGGCUAACUACGUG